Long non-coding RNA from Homo sapiens (human), 4873 nucleotides. RefSeq lists it as uncharacterized. The transcript has 3 exons. Lineage: Eukaryota; Metazoa; Chordata; Mammalia; Primates; Hominidae. The record is from RefSeq and is a predicted model, not a curated record.
GUGUCCUGGCAAGUGCUUCCUCCUUAUACAGACGGUUUUGGAAGACUUCCCAGAUUGUGCUUUUGCACUUUUAAGGAUGAAGGCUACAUGAGAGAGCUGGAUGGGAUAGCACAGUCUACACACAGCACUAGAUACUAUACUACAAAAGACAGUAAUCCCCAAGAGACAAGGAGCAAGAGAGAUGAACCUUCUGAUUGUCCCAGAUUUCCACCUUGAGAAAGUUUCCAGGCCAAACCAUAGCAAGAGGCAACCCAGAAGGAGUCUGGGGAUGUUUGUGAAUUGAGCAGACAGAGCAGAGGAUCUGGGAAGACCAAGGUGUUUCAGGCAUCCACUGGGAGUUUGGAAUGUAUCCCACAUGCAUGAAGGGGAACUACUGUUUUACAAGGAAUGUUCAAAGAAGUUAUUCAAGCAGAAGAAAAAUGAUACUACAUGAAAUAUAAAUGAACGACACUAGAUGAAAUCUUUUGUGGAACUACACAAAGGAAUGAAGACCAUUAGAAAUGAUGACUAGAUGAGUAUAUGAUUUUUUUAUCAUUUAAAUUACCUUAUUAUGUAAUUAUUUAAUCAGCGAUAAUAAAAUAGAGUUUAUAAUAUAAGUUUAAAAUAUAAUGUACAACAGCAAGAACACAAAAGCUGGGAAAGGAGAAAUGAGUGUAUAUUGUAUAUGGAGUAGAAUAAUAUCAUUUGAAGGUAGACUGUGUUGAGUUAAAUAUAUAAACUACACAGCCUAACAAAAUUAAAUAAAAAAGAGUUAUAAUUAAUAAACCAACAAAGGAGAAAAAAAUGGCAUGAUAAAAAUACUCAAUCUGAAAGAAACUAGAAAAAGAGAAAAAAGGAAGGAAAGGAGGGAUGAAAUAUAGUAACAAUGAAGAGGAAUGCGGUACAUGUAAAACUAUAUUAAUAAUCACAUUAAUUAUAAAUGGUCUCCACAAUUGAAAGGCAGCUAUUGUCAGACUGGAUAAAAAAUAUGACCAGAUUGGAUAAAAAAUUGGUAUAUGUUACCUAUAAAAAAUGCACUUUAAAUGUAAUGAUACAAAUAGGAUAAGAGCAAAAGGGUGGGAAAAAGGUAUGCCCAUGCCCACACUAACAAAAAGAGAGUAUGGCUACAUUAAUAUAGAACAAAGUAGAUUUUAGGCCAAAAUCAUUACCAGGAUUAAGAUGGUCAUUUCAUAACAAAAAGGAUCAAUUUAUUAUAAUCCUAAACAAUUAUGUACCUAGAAAGACUUUGAAAUACAUGCAGCAAAACUGAUACAACUGCAAAAAGAAAUAGAUAUGAUAAAUCUACAAUUAUAGAAAUAGAUUUCAAUACCUCUCUCUCAAUAAUUGAUAGAACAAGUAGACAGGAUGUCAACAAGUUGAUGGUAAUGAGGAACAACAUUAUCAUCCAACUUAACCUAAUUAAUAUUUAUAAAAUACUCCACCCAAUAACAAUGGAAUACACAUUUUUUUUCGAGUGCAUAUGAAACAUUUACCAUGAAAUUGAAUUUUUAAAAGUCUCAGGUAUCAUUUAUUGCUAAAAUGUUUUAAUCUUCACUUUUAAAACUUUAUAGCUUUUCUUUAAAACAUCAGUUUUAAGCAAUCUGCUUUAUCAUAGAAAUAAACUAUUCUAAACUACAUUUUCUUUGGAAAUUUUAAAUCUAGCAUCAAUAAAAUACAGAAAUAUAACUAUUUAUAGAGAUAUAUUUGGUAUUCUAAAUAUGAGUCUGGCCUAAAGAAAAAGGAAACGUUUGCUGCCAUGUUGAAAACAUAGAGCAUAAUUAAUAUAGACUAUUAUCACUCAGUAAAAUUACUCAGUAUGUUUGGAGAUUUCAUAUCUUUAGCAAACACUAAAGAUAGUAAUAACUUGGGGAUUAGGAGCACCAUUAAACAGAUGCCAUUUUGGCAAAUGUCCUUAAUUUGUUAGUUUUAAUCAAUGUUUUUGGUUAAAAAAAAAAAAAACUGCUUAGAAUCUCUCUCCACAUUCUUUUGUUAGAUACUGAGUGCAGUCUCCAAGAGGCCUACUCAGUAGUCCAAGAUUUAAUAGUUAUCUUCUUAUCUACCACAAAGGUUAAACAGGGAUAAAACUGGCAAUAGCUUGAAAGAACCAAGCAGAGUGGGGGAGUGAACAAAUUUAGGAUUGGGUUAGCUUUAGUGUCACAAAUCAACUUAAAAGGUAACUUGCAACCUCCUUGAAGGAGGUUCAGAGGCAAUCUCCUUCAGUAAAUUCUGCAAGAGCUGUGCAGUUCAGCCGGGAGCCAGGGCGUAUCCUGUUUUUGAUCCCUCUCUACCUCACCCAUGUUUAAAACAGGAUUGCUCUCGCGAUGCAGUAUGUGUGUAUUGGAACAGCACCCAGCUCAAGACCCAGAGAGAGACUUGGGUGUAAUAUUACAGAGCAGAGCUAACAUUACUGUCUGCCACUACACAUUGUCGGCACAGUUGUGUUCAUUAGUGUUGUCUCACUUCAUUCUUACACAAGCAUCCUCAUGUAAGUUUUAUAUUCCUAUUUAAAGACAAGGACACUGAGGCACAUAGAGAUGCUGCAAACUGUCAGUUUAAAAGUUAGGAAGUAGAAGUGACAUUUUUCAACACAGAGCUCCAGAUAACAAGUCUAAUGUUAUUCUCAUCCUUAGCUUUUUUGAGUAGUGCUAUAUUGUCUCCCACAUUUAACACUGCUCCAAAAAAGGCUUUGAAUCAACUGUCUUGGGUUUAUGUCUGCAUGUGUUAUUUACUAGUUAUUUGAUAUGGGCCUCAAUUUCUUCAUGCUAACACUGAGAAUCAUAAAAGUGCAUAAAUAAACUCACAUACCUAAAGUAUCUGUUAGAAUACAUGGACCACAGGAGACACUUAUUCCUGUAUCAGUAUAUAGACUUUUAAACCCUUGAUGUUGGCAUCUUUGUGUUAAUAAACAAAACCCUAGAAGAAGAUGUUGCCAAUUUAUUAAAGGUGUCUAAAUAUGAUAAUGAACAUAAAUACCUGCGGAGAGGAUAUCAACAUAUAAGAAACACUGAAGGUAAUUGGAGUCAUGCCUCUCGAAAUAUUUCUGAGGUUAAAUGUUAUUUAUUAGUUAAUAUAUCUUAAGAAUAUUUUUAACGUGGGCUUUUGAGUUAUGGUUGGAGUUUUAUCACAGUUGAUAAAGUAAGAACAAUUGUCCUAUCUUUGUAUAAUUGUAGAAUGUCUUGAAGAUUGAUCAUUCUUAAUCUAUAGAACUUGACCUAGAAAAUUCCUAUGAUCUUACAUUAAGUAUAGAAACACUUUCAUUUCCUUUACCCACUUUCCUAAGAGGUUUGUUGGUUGAUCAUCAGGCAAAGUGUAUGAAAUGUAUCAUAAUUAUUUGAUACUUCAGUCUCUGGGCCUUUUUCCUAUUUAUGUUGGCAAUUCUGAUUUCCUUCCUUUAAUAAAUUUAUCAUCAAUUUAUUACAAUAAUUAAUGAAGAUGUCCCAGAAAACAAAUGUCUCCCUUAAGUAGAUUUUUUAAAAUACUAAUAAACAACUUGCUGUUUUAAAUUUUCAUAACAAACUUAUCACAUGCAAAACUGUACUAUAAAUUAUAGAUACCCAUCAUUAGUAAUGUAUAGACUAUCCAAUGUCAUACAUAUUAAAUAGAGAGUAACUUAAAAUAGCCCUGGUUGCUUUGACUGUAUUGUGUAUUCACUGUAUUGCAGGCAUAUUAAAUAUCUCUGUUCAUUAAUAUUUUACUCUGAGUAUUUUUAUACAAUUAGCAAGAAACUUCUAAUUACAAUUUCUAAUUAAAUAACAUUACAACAAUAAGAAGCUAUUAGUUUUGGUCAACUGGAUUUCAAUGGGUUAACUGGGAUCUUUGGUCCUGAGACUGUUCAUAUCCUCAGACUUCACAACACUAGCAGAGGCUGGCUCUGCAAUAAGUCUCACAUUACAUGCGGAUUAGAUUUGUAGAAAUCCUGUAACUCAAUAGGUACCUGCCUAUUCUCUCCUGGCGUCAGCCUGCCUGCACUGCUUUGCUCUGUAGACAUACCUGGCAUUCCACCCAUGCCUCCCCACUUAGUAAAGUGAACUGGAGUCAGCCUACCAAAACAUUGGGGUAUUGUUGUGAAGGAGAAAACCCCCUGACAGCCAAGAAAAGUGUGAAGUCAGGCUUGCAAUGCCUUGCACCUUCCUCUGAAGCAUACAUGCUACUCUUCCUAAUUUCUUUACAUCCUUAUUACAGCAAGGUUGGAGUACAGAUAUUUCCAGGUAUUUGUCAGCAUAGUGCAGUCAUAGUCCAAAGGUAAGAUGGAGUUCUGGCUGUUUUUUCUUCCUCUCUUCUCUUCUCUUCCUCCACCACCCUCACUUCCUUGACCACCAGGCUUUCCCUCCCUGCCCCUCUCUGUUUCCCCUAACAGUGUACCUUGACAAACAUGUUUACACUCAAAGGUGGGAAAACAAAACCAAGCACCAAGCACAACAAAAAACAGGCUUGGCACCAAAUCCUAGAGUACUCAGUGGACUGAUUUCUGGGAGCUGUGCCAAACGCGAUAAGCACUGCUAUUUUAACACAUCUCUAGUGCUCAGCACAAAUCAUUCAUUAAAUAAUUAGCAUGUUACCUUGUUAAGAAUCUUUAAAACUAAGGUGAGAUUUUCAUUCAGGAAGCACAUCAGAUUGUUUAGCAUCUUUUUCUAAUUAAGCAUUAAUCCCUCCCAGGAAGAAUGAGUCACUCAAGCAAGUGAACUUUCAAAGAUAAGGGAUUUCUCUUUUGUAAACUGCAAUUAACAGCUUUUAACAGCCAGCAUUAAUCCGGUUUUCCCAACAGUUGAAAUGAUUCUGAUGAUUUUUACUUCUUGCUCCUUAUGCAGCUGACCAAACUCAAGAAAUCGAGACAUUUAUGACAAAUAUGGAAAUGAGAUGAGCAGAAAAAAAAACCCAAACAAAACAAAAAAAA